AUGAUUAUUUUUCUUUGUAAGAACUUUUUUUUGAGACAAUUUCUUUUUAAGAACUUUUUUUCGGUCCUUUGUAGAGUUCAAAUGAAAAAAAUAAAGUUCAGUGGUCUUGGCCCAAAUAUUCAGAGCUCGGCCCAAUUCCAGUGCCCAGCUCAUCUUACAACACGAAGAGAUUCUCAAAAAAAAAAGAGAUUCUCAACAAAAAAUCUUAUACAACACGAAGAGAAACAAAGAAGCAAAUCUGCGCACGCGGCGGCCCUGAGCGACGGGUCGGCACCAGCCGCCACCGGCGCGCUUCCGCCCGCGUCCGAUGGCCGGAGACCAAGCACGCCCACAGGUGUUCGACGCAGGCCCGACCGGCGCAUGCCGUGACCCCUUGCUUGCUGGUUGCCCUCUGCUCCCGGCUUCUGAGGUUGCCGGAGGAUUGCGCUCCUGGAUUGGAUUGGAGUUUAGAUGGCAAUUGUAUCAAGUUAUAGCCUUAUAGGGCUGAUACAGUUAUAGGAUCACAAUCCAGGAUUGGAUUGGAUUGAGGCGAAACUUUGCACUUAUCGAUGAAAUACCAACUUGUAUGUCAACCCUGUUCAGUUAUACCUGAAAUGUCAACUGUAUCCUAGUUUGCCCAUGAUUAAUUAAUCUAUUAACUUGCCAAUCUGCUUAGUUGGUUAAGUCUCAAGUCUCAACUGUGUGUUUAUUGUCCAGGAAGCAAAGCAAAUGAUGAAAUUAAAGCUGUUAGUACAUAAAGAUUGAAGAGCACAUAUUCUGAUGUGAUGGACUAUGUUAUAGGAAUGCUGACAUGGUUGAGUUUUCGAUGGAAUCAUAUGUGCGUCAGCUCAAAUCAUCUUACAUUGUUACAUACUUUUACACCUCCGCAGAAUGAAAUCGCUCUUCGCCCUGGCAUAUUUUUUUGCUAACCUAAUUGUGAUUCACACCUACAGGAGAAGCUUGUUUGUUGGACGUGUUGCUAAACCUGAGUAACAGCCUAAUAUUAAUGCACUGAACCAAUGUGUGAAGCGAAUUAGGACUUGACAAAAUACCUUGACAAGACUAACUGAUCAUACAGCACUCCUACACCAAAGAAUGCACUGAAUGCAACCACAAAGGCUACCUUGUAGUCAGUUUGUUUUGCUGACAGAAUGUGAUGUUCUUCCGCUGAAUUGCAUUUUUG
Molecule: ribosomal RNA, 1162 nt
Filed under: Triticum aestivum (bread wheat)
Lineage: Eukaryota; Viridiplantae; Streptophyta; Magnoliopsida; Poales; Poaceae
Description: partial small subunit ribosomal RNA
Source: RNAcentral